CAUGUAUGGGCCUUUUUCAAAAAAAUGUGGAUUUUCUUGUACAAUCAAUAUUUCUAAAAAAGUGUAAAUAUUUUUAUCCAAUUUUUAGAUACACAAUUUAGUUUUUGGUGUGUGUAACAAGUUCCAGCAAAUUCAAUAUGACAUUUAGCUACAGAAAUUGCUUCCAGUGGGUUUCAAAGGGUCCAAAACCCCCAAAAUUGUUUGUACGAAAU
RNAcentral lists this long non-coding RNA (212 nucleotides) under Mytilus galloprovincialis (Mediterranean mussel). The record is from RNAcentral. Lineage: Eukaryota; Metazoa; Mollusca; Bivalvia; Mytilida; Mytilidae.